UUCCUUCACGAUGCCGGUGCCGCGUGCGCCCAACGCCACUGGGGUCGAAAGGCCACAACGGACGCGACAAUCAUGCGAAUAUAACGACGGACGUUCAAAAGGCCAUAGAAGCCCACGCCCACAUAUUCCGCAUCCGAGGGGACGAGUAGGCACACGAGGACCGUGGCUGCCACACAGCAAUGUGAUGGUCGUCGGGGACGCGUGUGCUACUUUGAUGUCCUCCUCGUACCCGUGGAGAGCACAAGGAGGAAAGGGGCACCGUUGGCAACUAAUUCCGUCACGUUAGGUAUGCAACACAAGAACCCCAUACGCUCGAGAGACACAUGGUCCUCGUAGCAAAACACUGAGAGGUAGCCGAGCGCAAGCAGUUCGAUGCCCAGAGCAC
This 385-nucleotide unclassified non-coding RNA is filed under the name Phyllogeiton zeyheri. RNAcentral's name for it is "partial contains external transcribed spacer and 18S ribosomal RNA". The record is from RNAcentral. Lineage: Eukaryota; Viridiplantae; Streptophyta; Magnoliopsida; Rosales; Rhamnaceae.